This 1074-nucleotide unclassified non-coding RNA is filed under the name Hevea brasiliensis (rubber tree). The record is from RNAcentral. Lineage: Eukaryota; Viridiplantae; Streptophyta; Magnoliopsida; Malpighiales; Euphorbiaceae.
AAACACCACAAUAUCAAAACAAAAAGUGUUCUGUAGAAUUCUAACUUCUUCGUCAUUCCCGCCGCCGCAUAACAACUUGCCGAUGUCUCAGUUCAGACAGACUUGGGGUUAUCGGGUGAACGAGGGCUCGCCAUACUCGUACCAAUUCAUCCCUCCUCCUCCACUGUCGAGACAUCCAUAUCUGCCGCCGCCUCCGCCGGAUUCCUUGUAUCCACAGCCUCCUCCUCCUCCACCUUCUCCGACACCGUGCCCACCUCCACCUUCUCGUCCUCCUCCUUCGUCUUUUACUCAACCGUCUCAGCCACUGUUCUCUCCUCUAGUAAAUCGGUAUCCAUCUUCGUCCCCUCCUCCACCUUCUGAGCCCCGAUUCCGUCUGCUUCCUCCUCACCCACCUUCUCAGACUGUUGGAUUUAAACAAACAGCUCCAUUGCCUGUGAAAAAUUCCAACGAGACUAGGGAAGAGAGGAGGUUGAGGAAGAAGAAGGAAUUCGAAAAAGUGAGACAGAAACAGAGAAUAAGGGAAGCACAGAACAGAAUUGUGGAGAAAACGAAGUUGAUAUUUUUUGGUAGGAAGGGUCAUGGGUCAAUUAGAUCAGACAGAAAUAUUGCCCCUUUGCCAAGUGGUGGCAUGACAGGCAACCUGUUGAAGAAGCAGCAGCUGAACAGAAGCUUUAGCAGCAGAAACAAGUCAAGAGAACUUGGAGAAGGGAUUAAUAUACCCACCAUUUGCCAACAUAAGGAAGAUUUCAGCUCACAUUGCAGCCAAAGCAUGGACUUGGCUUGGCCACUCGUCUACCUCAACCGGAUAACCUAGUAGCAUAUGCAGAGAGUUGCAUGUACAGUCCAAGUUAUCGUAGCUAUCGCUAAGUCAAGGAAGAUACAUAAGUACUCAUUUUUCAUAGCUUUGAAGAUUAUUAUACUAAACAACCACUAAUUUAGGAGGAAUAUAUAGAUAAUUUUUAGUUUUGUAUUGGCCACUUAACGUCUUUUUCUGUAAUUCUGACUCAUUGGGUCAGCUUAGGCCACUGGCCCUCACUCCUUGUACUGAUGCUUAAUUAAAAGCUAAAAUUUGAA